AGUCGGACGGCAGCACAGAGAAGCUUGCUUCUUGGGUGGCGAGUGGCGAACGGGUGAGUAAUAUAUCGGAACGUACCGAGUAAUGGGGGAUAACUAAUCGAAAGAUUAGCUAAUACCGCAUAUUCUCUGAGGAGGAAAGCAGGGGACCUUCGGGCCUUGCGUUAUUCGAGCGGCCGAUAUCUGAUUAGCUAGUUGGUGGGGUAAAGGCCUACCAAGGCGACGAUCAGUAGCGGGUCUGAGAGGAUGAUCCGCCACACUGGGACUGAGACACGGCCCAGACUCCUACGGGAGGCAGCAGUGGGGAAUUUUGGACAAUGGGCGCAAGCCUGAUCCAGCCAUGCCGCGUGUCUGAAGAAGGCCUUCGGGUUGUAAAGGACUUUUGUCAGGGAAGAAAAGGCUGUUGCUAAUACCGACAGCUGAUGACGGUACCUGAAGAAUAAGCACCGGCUAA
Molecule: ribosomal RNA, 451 nt
Filed under: Neisseria perflava
Lineage: Bacteria; Pseudomonadati; Pseudomonadota; Betaproteobacteria; Neisseriales; Neisseriaceae
Description: bacterial SSU rRNA
Rfam family: Bacterial small subunit ribosomal RNA
Source: RNAcentral